RNAcentral lists this small nuclear RNA (107 nucleotides) under Catagonus wagneri (Chacoan peccary). Lineage: Eukaryota; Metazoa; Chordata; Mammalia; Artiodactyla; Tayassuidae. The record is from RNAcentral.
GUGCUCAGUCCCACAGCACAUAUCCUGAAAUUGGAAUGAUACAGAGAAGAUUAGCAUGGACUCAGCACAAGGAUGACCUGCAAAUUCAGGAAGCACGCCAUAUUUUU